This is a long non-coding RNA of Penaeus indicus, 306 nucleotides long. RefSeq lists it as uncharacterized. The transcript is spliced from 2 exons. The record is from RefSeq and is a predicted model, not a curated record. Lineage: Eukaryota; Metazoa; Arthropoda; Malacostraca; Decapoda; Penaeidae.
UUUUUUUUCUUUUUUUUUUUCGUUUCUUGUUCUUAAAAUUGUUCUUUAGAAGGAUAUUAUUGUAGGUUUUGUUGAUAUCCGAUGCUCCUUCUUUUCACACUGCCAAGUAAUGUAGAGUAUUUGGAGGUAAAAUAAGUAAAUAAUAAAUAGGUAAAAUAAGUAAAUAAUACAUAGGUAAAAUAAGUAAAUGAGUAAAUAAGCAAAAGGUAAGUAAGUAAGGAGGUAAAUGAUUAGACAAGCGAGCGUCUUUCGUAGACAGAUUGAUUUCUCUUACAGGCCCUUUGAUUAAACUUCUGAUUUUUUUUU